Long non-coding RNA from Xenopus tropicalis (tropical clawed frog), 684 nucleotides. RefSeq lists it as uncharacterized. The record is from RefSeq and is a predicted model, not a curated record. The transcript is spliced from 5 exons. Lineage: Eukaryota; Metazoa; Chordata; Amphibia; Anura; Pipidae.
AUGCAACUACAUGUGUGCUUCAUCACAAAUCUGGCACAAUUGCACCGAAUAUGACUGUAUAACUGUAAGCUUACUGUAUCCACAGGAUUCCCAGUGCAAGGUCUUCUGGUCAUGUGCCAAUACUUGUAAGAACCUGUAAAACAAUGAAACCUAUGGCAAAUCUCGACCUCCACUUGACAUGUGAUUAGAAGAAGCUGAAUGUAUCCAUGGGAUUCCCAGAGCAAAGGUCUUCAGGUUAUGUGCCAGUACCUGUAGGUACCCAGAAAACAAGGAAACUUACUGCAACUCCUUACCAGAUCCUUUACUCGACAUUUUGUACUGCCUAUGAUGAGGAACCAAAAGCACCGACAUCAGUGUCAAGAAGAAAGAUCCAACAGUUUACCAUCCUCCAAAUAAAAAUUCUCAUAACCAGCAGAUGGAGAAUGCUUAUGGUUAUUCACAGCACAAGAUGAAGAAGCAAUGCAAAGGUCAACAGGAAGUGCCAGCUUCUGCUAUGAGAUGAGAGGUGGUGCGGGAGAACAGCAAGGCAUACGUCGAUUGCAUUAUGUAUAGCAAGAGUUCUGAAGGAUUUCCCAACUUUAAGGCUAUUUCUUGAGGUAUUCAUAACUGAAAAAUGUUAAGUUUGCUUGUCUUUUUCCUGUAUUGUUUCUACUGAGAGUAAAAUAAAGAUGUUUUACCACUGUU